AGAGUUUGAUUAUGGCUCAGGAUAACGUUGGCUGUGUGCCUAAGGUAUGCAAGUCGAACGAUCCCUGGGAUAGUGGCAAACGGGUGAGUAACACGUGGAUAACCUGCCUUAAAGUCAUGAACAGCUCAUCGAAAGAUGGGAUAAUACAUGAUGCUUACAAUUUCUAUCGACUUUGUAAGUAAAGCUCAGGCGCUUUAAGAGGGGUCCGCGUCCUAUCAGCUUGUUGGUGAGGUAAUAGCUCACCAAGGCUAAGACGGGUAGCUGGCGUGAGAGCGCGGUCAGCCACCAUGGAACUGAGACACGGUCCAUACUCCUACGGGAGGCAGCAAUUAGGAAUCUUGCGCAAUGGGGGCAACCCUGACGCAGCGACACAGCGUGGAGGCGGUUCGUUGACUCCUUUUAUAUGGGAUAGAACCAUAUGAAUAAGCACCGGCAACUACGUGCCAGAAGCCUCGGUAAUACGUAGGGUGCGAGCGUUAUCCGGAAUUAUUGGGCGUAAAGAGGCGUAGGCGGUCUAUCAAGUCCAGUCUUAAAGCUUGCAGCCUAACUGCAAAGAUGGACUGGAAACUGUUGGACUUGAGUAAUGCAGGGGUGAGCGGAAUCUACGGUGUAGGGGUAAAAUCCAUUGAUAUCGUAGAGAACACCAAUGGCGAAGGCAGCUCACUAGGCAUCACUGACGCUGAGGCGCGAAAGCGUGGGUAGCGAACGGGAUUAGAUACCCCGGUAGUCCACGCCGUAAACGAUGCGAACUAGGUAUUGGAUUUUGGUACCGAAGCUAACGCGUUAAGUUCGCCGCCUGGGGAGUACGAGCGCAAGCUUAAAACUCAAAGGAAUUGGCGGGGGCUCGCACAAGCGGCGGAACAUGGGGUUUAAUUCGACAGUAAGCGAAGAACCUCACCAAGGACAUCCGGAAUCCUGCAGAAAUGCGGGGGCUUCGGCCUAAGGUGCUGCACGGUCGUCGUCAGCUCGUGGCUUGAGCUGUUCCGUUAAGUCGGGAAACGAGCGCAACCCUUAUCGUCUGUUAAAUUUCUCAGGCGAGACUGCCCCGGUACGGGGAGGAAGGUGGGGAUGACGUCAGAUCAGCGUGGCCUUUAUACCUUGGGCGACACCCGUGUUACAAUGGCUGCUACAAAGGGUCGCAAUAUCGCGAGAUGGAGCUAUCCUUAAAAGUAGUCUCAGUUCGGAUUGGAGUCUGCAACUCGACUCCAUGAAGUCGGAAUCGCUAGUAAUCGUGGAUCAGACACGCCACGGUGAAUACGUUCUCGAGCCUUGCACACACCCCCGUC
Molecule: ribosomal RNA, 1286 nt
Filed under: uncultured candidate division WS6 bacterium
Lineage: Bacteria
Description: bacterial SSU rRNA
Rfam family: Bacterial small subunit ribosomal RNA
Source: RNAcentral